This is a non-coding RNA of Manis javanica (Malayan pangolin), 826 nucleotides long. The record is from RefSeq and is a predicted model, not a curated record. NCBI's taxonomy places the organism in Eukaryota, Metazoa, Chordata, Mammalia, Pholidota, Manidae.
CCUUGCAGAUGCAGAUGCGCUUCGACGGCCUGCUGGGCUUCCCCGGGGGCUUCGUGGACCGGCGCUUCUGGUCGCUGGAGGACGGGCUGAACCGGGUGCUGGGCCUGGGCCUGGGCUGUCUGCGCCUCACCGAGGCCGACUACCUGAGCUCGCACCUGACCGAGGGCCCGCACCGCGUCGUGGCUCACCUGUACGCGCGGCAGCUGACGCUGGAGCAGCUGCACGCCGUGGAGAUCAGCGCGGUGCACUCGCGCGACCACGGUCUGGAGGUGGGGCCGCCGCCCGGGCCCCGCCCCCCGCCCCGGGGUUUGGCUCUGGCCCCGCGGAAGGCACCGAUGGGUGCUGGGGCUCGUGCGGGUCCCACUGUACACCCAGAAGGACCGAGUCGGCGGCUUUCCCAACUUCCUGAGCAAUGCCUUCACCAGCACAGCCAAGCACCAGCUCCUCUUCGCCCUCAGGGUGCUCAACAUGAUGCCGGAGGAGAAGCUGGCUGAGGCCUUGGCGGCAGCCACAGAGAAACAAAAGAAGGCGCUGGAGAAGCUGCUCUCCCCUUCCUGAGCACGGUCUGCAGGCAGCUCCAGGGGCUGAUCUGGAAGCACUGGCCGGCGCGCAGAAUGACAGCCGCAGAGCCACCGCAGGACAGGAAAGUUGCCACUGUCGGCCUCCCUGCUCUGGAAAGACUCCUCAGUGAAGCGACCAGUUCCCCCGGCGCCUGCCUGGCCCGGGCGUCGAUUCUGCCUUCGAGCCUCUAUGCAGUGGCCAGCAUGUGCGGGCAGAGGCACUUGGUUCUGUGAAUAAAACGCCUGUACCGUGCUCCUCCCUUCUA